Molecule: ribosomal RNA, 264 nt
Filed under: uncultured Atopobium sp.
Lineage: Bacteria; Bacillati; Actinomycetota; Coriobacteriia; Coriobacteriales; Atopobiaceae
Description: partial 16S ribosomal RNA
Rfam family: Bacterial small subunit ribosomal RNA
Source: RNAcentral
UAAAGUGGCGAACGGCUGAGUACCACGUGGGCAACCUGCCCUUUGCACUGGGAUAGCCUCGGGAAACCGAGGUUAAUACCGGAUACUCCAUAUUUGUCGCAUGGCAAUAUGGGAAAGCUCCGGCGGCAAAGGAUGGGCCCGCGGCCUGUUAGCUAGUUGGUGGGGUAGUGGCCUACCAAGGCAAUGAUGGGUAGCCGGGUUGAGAGACCGACCGGCCAGAUUGGGACUGAGGCACGGCCCAGACUCCUACGGGAGGCAGCAGCC